UCGGGAAUUUUGGGCAAUGGGCGAAAGCCUGACCCAGCAACGCCGCGUGAAGGAUAAAGUAUUUCGGUAUGUAAACUUCGAAAGAAUAGGAAGAAUAAAUGACGGUACUAUUUAUAAGGUCCGGCUAACUACGUGCCAGCAGCCGCGGUAAUACGUAGGGACCAAGCGUUGUUCGGAUUUACUGGGCGUAAAGGGCGCGUAGGCGGCAAUUCAAGUCAUCUGUGAAAUCUCCGGGCUUAACUCGGAACGGUCAGAUGAUACUGCUUUGCUAGAGUGCAGAAGGGGCAAUCGGAAUUCUUGGUGUAGCGGUGAAAUGCGUAGAUAUCAAGAGGAACACCUGAGGUGAAGACGGGUUGCUGGGCUGACACUGACGCUGAGGCGCGAAAGCCAGGGGAGCAAACGGGAUUAGAUACCCUUGUAGUCCCUGAGCGGGCUGGCAAGGCGCAU
RNAcentral lists this ribosomal RNA (447 nucleotides) under uncultured bacterium. RNAcentral's name for it is "bacterial SSU rRNA". It matches the Rfam family "Bacterial small subunit ribosomal RNA", at positions 355 to 825 of the family's 1533-position model. The record is from RNAcentral.